RNAcentral lists this unclassified non-coding RNA (337 nucleotides) under soil metagenome. RNAcentral's name for it is "partial contains 5.8S ribosomal RNA, internal transcribed spacer 2, and large subunit ribosomal RNA". The stretch from base 1 to 120 matches the Rfam family "5.8S ribosomal RNA", at positions 35 to 154 of the family's 154-position model. The record is from RNAcentral.
GAUGAAGAACGGAGCGAAAUGCGAAAAGUAGUGUGAAUUGCAGAAUUCAGUGAAUCAUCGAAUCUUUGAACGCACAUUGCGCCCCUUGGUAUUCCAUGGGGCAUGCCUGUUCGAGCGUCAUUUGUACCCUCAAGCUCUGCUUUGUGUUGGGUGUUUGUCUCGCCUCUGCGCGUAGACUCGCCUCAAAACAAUUGGCAGCCGGCGUAUUGAUUUCGGAGCGCAGUACAUCUCGCGCUUUGCACUCAUAACGACGACGUCCAAAAGUACAUUUUUACACUCUUGACCUCGGAUCAGGUAGGGAUACCCGCUGAACUUAAGCAUAUCAAUAAGCGGAGGA